Molecule: ribosomal RNA, 468 nt
Filed under: uncultured bacterium
Lineage: Bacteria
Description: partial 16S ribosomal RNA
Rfam family: Bacterial small subunit ribosomal RNA
Source: RNAcentral
GACGAACGCUGGCGGCGUGCUUAACACAUGCAAGUCGAACGGAAAGGCCCUGCUUUUGUGGGGUGCUCGAGUGGCGAACGGGUGAGUAACACGUGAGUAACCUGCCCUUGACUUUGGUAUAACUUCAGGAAACUGGGGCUAAUACCUGAUAGGAGCUCCUGCUGCAUGGUGGGGGUUGGAAAGUUUCGGCGGUUGGGGAUGGACUCGCGGCUUAUCAGCUUGUUGGUGGGGUAGUGGCUUACCAAGGCUUUGACGGGUAGCCGGCCUGAGAGGGUGACCGGCCAAAUUGGGACUGAGAUACGGCCCAGACUCCUACGGGAGGAAGCAGUGGGGAAUAUUGAACAAUGGGCGGAAGCCUGAUGCAGCAACGCCGCGUGCGGGAUGACGGCCUUCGGGUUGUAAACCGCUUUCGCCUGUGACGAAGCGUGAGUGACGGUAAUGGGUAAAGAAGCACCGGCUAACUACGUG